Molecule: non-coding RNA, 180 nt
Organism: Podarcis lilfordi (Lilford's wall lizard)
Lineage: Eukaryota; Metazoa; Chordata; Lepidosauria; Squamata; Lacertidae
Source: the annotation of a GenBank genome assembly
UUCCUUAUGUUUAGUCAGAAUCUCAUUUCUUGUGAAUUGAAGUCAUUGGUACAAGUUCUCCAAGCAGGAGAAAACAAGCUUGCUCCAGCUCCCACAUGACAACCCCUAAGAUAUUUGAAGAUGACUAUCAUCUCUCCUGUCUCCUCUUGUCCAAGCUAAACAUACCCAGCUACUUCAACC